GCUGAAGAAGCUAUUAGCAUUGAUCUUGUAAAUCAAAGAUAGAAAUUCUUUUCCUUCAGCU
This 61-nucleotide transfer RNA is filed under the name Diopatra cuprea. RNAcentral's name for it is "tRNA-Thr". The record is from RNAcentral. Lineage: Eukaryota; Metazoa; Annelida; Polychaeta; Eunicida; Onuphidae.